GUUAUGGAUGUGAGCAUUGUGUUUUGAGUUAUUGUGGGAAUCAUUAUUUUCUUCGUAUUUGGAACUGAUGGUGAACAUUCAAAGUGUUUAUUUCUAUCCUGAUGAUACUGGGCAAGUUUCUUAACCUCUCUGAGACUUCAGUGAAAACUACCUGAUAAGUUUAUUGUGAAGAAUAAAUGAGAUAAUUUAUGUAAAUCACCUUAACAGUGCCCGGUAGCCUAGUACAUAGUAAAUGAUAGGUAUUAAUAUAUAUAACAUAGUAUAUAAUAAUUUUGUAUUUUGGUAUUGGGUUUUGUAGCACCAUUUAAAUGGCAAAAGUCAUGUAUUAGAUCUUAUGAGAGUAGCCCAGACUGUAGCCAGUUAAGAGGAAAUCUUUGUGCCUUUUUCUUGUGGAGAAUAUUGAAAUGGGUGGAUGGAAGAGUAUAAUCCCUCCAUGGGGGGAUGCCACCACCUUUUCUCAUAGUUUUUCAAAACAAAUCCCAGAAAUUAUAUCUUAUCUAUAAAUAUUUCACAACUUAAGUGGUAACGUCUCACUUUUAAAAGCAAAACCACACUACCAUUACACACCCCCCCCACACACACAAUAAUCCUUAAUCAUCAUAUAACCAGUAUUAAGUCUUCAGUUUCUAGGAAAUUGUUAUUAAUAGCAGCAUUGAGAUGCAUAAGAAGUAGAGAGUAAAUAUAGUGAACACAGAGGCAGUUACUCUUUCAAAGAGGAUGAAAGAUUUCUGUACAAGGACAGUUAACACCCAAGUAGAUAAGUUUGGAGGUACCGACAAAUGGCUAAAGAAAAUAAGUGGAAAAGUAGAGGUAAGGUUGAAAGUAGGGGCAUGUCUUGCGUAUGCCUAGUGUUUUCAUAUGGGCAUAAUAAGACAGAUGUUUACUGGGGAAAAAAAUAGAGUUGAUAAAUAUGGUGAAAUUGCCAACCGUGACAAAGGAAUGACUCUUAGGAGAAAGGGUUGGGUUUUUGAAAUAAAAUCGAGAAAACAUGGCAGAAAAGAUAAUUUGGUAAGCAGGAAAGAGAGAAUAGGUGGUGAUACAGGCACAAAAUUUUAAUAGAGAUGAUUAACCAAGUGAAGACAAGUGUUUUCUUUUGGAAGAAAACAAGGUGGAGAAAAGAUAAGGACCAUCCUGUAUUCAAACACCCCAACGUUGUGGUCAAAAAGGGAUCAAUGGAGAAAUAAUUUAGGAUAAGUUCAUCGCAGCCAUUGUCUGAAUUGUUAAAGAAACUCUAAACUACGUGCGUGGCUGACUAGAAUUGCCAGCAAUGCCUAAAAUCAGGAGACGAUUUUCUGAGUGUUUUUGUACCGCAGCUGCACUAAAUGUACGUAGAGCAUGAACUACCAAUUGUGCUUCUCAAACCAGUGAGUCUAACUUUCUUUCUGUUUAAAAGAGCACCCGACUGGAGACCCAGAAAAGCACCUGGAUGUCUUUGCACAGCCUGCUGAGGAGAGCAUCAGUGGCCUGGCCUGAUUGAGGCAUGCCUGCAGCUAUUGGGAUGUGAUCUGCUCAGCCGGGGCCAUAAUCAGCAUUUUGCAGCAUCUCUGUCUCUCUUCUGGAAAAAAAAUUCUCAAAGGCAUUGGUCAGUGCUCUUGCAUCUCCGGCCCACAGGACAGAACACUACUACCCAUCG
Long non-coding RNA from Equus caballus (horse), 1633 nucleotides. NCBI's taxonomy places the organism in Eukaryota, Metazoa, Chordata, Mammalia, Perissodactyla, Equidae. The record is from Ensembl.